This 162-nucleotide unclassified non-coding RNA is filed under the name uncultured Chaetothyriales. Its description in RNAcentral is "sequence contains ITS1". The record is from RNAcentral. Lineage: Eukaryota; Fungi; Ascomycota; Eurotiomycetes; Chaetothyriales.
CCGAGUGAGGGCGCCCCCGGCGCCCGACCUCUCAACCCUUUGUGUGACCGUUACCUCUGUUGCCUCGGGGGCGACCCGGCCCUGACCCGGCCGCGGGCCCCCGGUGGACCACUCAUCAACACUGCAUCAAUGCGUCGGAGUGAUUUGAAGCAAAUUCAAUCA